AAAUGCUAAAAUUUUUCAGAGUCUUGACAAGAAUGCUCUAAUAGAAGUGCCGAAUGGCAAAAAUUUCAUCUCAAAUAAGAAAAAGCAAAAGCAAAGAACUAGACCUCAUAAAAUUGAAAUAGAGCACAAAGAGGAAAAGAUCAGAUUUGAAAAUGAUUCCAAAAUGCUUUUUGUCCUUUGCAUAAAUGGAAGGAAAUGCAUCCAAGGUGAAGGACUAGGAAGCUCUUAUACAACUUGACAUUGAGGAAAAUCUUCAAUGGUGUCUUUGUUAUAGCAAAUGAAUUUAUAAUUGAAAAGCAGUGGAGCCUUAUGUUACCUACCGGUAGGAGACACAAAACCUUUUCUUAUUGCUAUGCAAUAAAUAUAAAC
Quercus robur (English oak) is the source of this 369-nucleotide long non-coding RNA. RefSeq lists it as uncharacterized. NCBI's taxonomy places the organism in Eukaryota, Viridiplantae, Streptophyta, Magnoliopsida, Fagales, Fagaceae. The record is from RefSeq and is a predicted model, not a curated record. The transcript is spliced from 3 exons.